AACUUUCAACAACGGAUCUCUUGGCUCUCGCAUCGAUGAAGAAUGCAGCGAAAUGCGAUAAGUAAUGUGAAUUGCAGAAUUCAGUGAAUCAUCGAAUCUUUGAACGCACCUUGCGCCCUUUGGUAUUCCGAAGGGCAUGCCUGUUUGAGUGUCA
Molecule: ribosomal RNA, 154 nt
Filed under: uncultured fungus
Lineage: Eukaryota; Fungi
Description: partial 5.8S ribosomal RNA
Rfam family: 5.8S ribosomal RNA
About the family: 5.8S ribosomal RNA (5.8S rRNA) is a component of the large subunit of the eukaryotic ribosome. It is transcribed by RNA polymerase I as part of the 45S precursor that also contains 18S and 28S rRNA.
Source: RNAcentral